GUCCAGACUCCUACGGGAGGCAGCAGUGGGGAAUAUUGCACAAUGGGGGAAACCCUGAUGCAGCGACGCCGCGUGAGCGAUGAAGUAUUUCGGUAUGUAAAGCUCUAUCAGCAGGGAAGAAGAUGACGGUACCUGACUAAGAAGCCCCGGCUAACUACGUGCCAGCAGCCGCGGUAAUACGUAGGGGGCAAGCGUUAUCCGGAUUUACUGGGUGUAAAGGGAGCGUAGACGGCGAUGCAAGCCAGAUGUGAAAGCCCGGGGCUCAACCCCGGGACUGCAUUUGGAACUGUGUGGCUGGAGUGUCGGAGAGGCAGGCGGAAUUCCUAGUGUAGCGGUGAAAUGCGUAGAUAUUAGGAGGAACACCAGUGGCGAAGGCGGCCUGCUGGACGAUGACUGACGUUGAGGCUCGAAAGCGUGGGGAGCAAACAGGAUUAGAUACCCGAGUACU
Molecule: ribosomal RNA, 448 nt
Filed under: uncultured bacterium
Lineage: Bacteria
Description: bacterial SSU rRNA
Rfam family: Bacterial small subunit ribosomal RNA
Source: RNAcentral